AGAGGGUUAGGCUAAUUGGCAAGCCACCAGUCUUGAAAACUGGCAAACCGUCAGAAGGUAUGUGGGUUCGAAUCCCCCACCCUCUGCCA
Molecule: transfer RNA, 89 nt
Filed under: Acidobacteriota bacterium
Lineage: Bacteria; Pseudomonadati; Acidobacteriota
Description: Acidobacteria bacterium (activated sludge metagenome) tRNA-Ser
Rfam family: tRNA
About the family: Transfer RNA (tRNA) molecules are approximately 80 nucleotides in length. Their secondary structure includes four short double-helical elements and three loops (D, anti-codon, and T loops).
Source: RNAcentral